RNAcentral lists this long non-coding RNA (1225 nucleotides) under Piliocolobus tephrosceles (Ugandan red Colobus). RNAcentral's name for it is "lncRNA (ENSPTEG00000004062.1)". The record is from RNAcentral. Lineage: Eukaryota; Metazoa; Chordata; Mammalia; Primates; Cercopithecidae.
GUUUUCACAUAAGUUAUAAAAAAAAAAUUAACAUUUUAUUAAUGAUUUUUAUACCAAGUCACAAUUUGAAUAUUUGUUUAGUGUAUGAACGCUUUAACUUAUGUUAAGAAAAAAAAAAUAAAAUAAAAUAACUAGAAGUAAAAUAAUUCGAUACAAAAUGGUUAAAAAUAAAAAGAAAGUUACUGUAAAAAGUUGUAAUACAUUUACUCAUCUGUUGCUUGGGCGCUUAAGCGUUUGUUCGUUCGGUCGGUCGUUCAUUCAUUCAUUCAUCCUUUUUUUUUUUUUUUUUUUUUCAAACAAUUAUUUUCCGUUUUUUUAAAAAAAAAUUCACAUAUUUUAUAUAUAUAUCAGUGCAAUGAGCUUGACAUACUGAUUAAGCAAAAACUGAUAUUAGAAAGUUAGUUAAAUUGAGUUUUUUUUUUGAAUUCAUAUUUAGUUGUUUCUUUUACAUAAAAGAGUUGUAAGAGCGUUGAAAAAAAAUAAUAGACAGAGUUUUAUGCAUCACAAGCGCACACACAUAUAUAUACAUCCUUAUAUUAUACAUCGUAAAUAAAAAAAGCAAAAGAUGGUUUCAUCAGAGUUUGAAAAUAGUAAAAUUAAGCUUCCUUAUGAAAACGAAAUUACGAAACAAAUCGUAAAUAAAAUUUUGGAUAAUUUAAAUGAUAAGCAACAAACGGCAUAUGUUGGAUAUAGCAUGAAUAAAAACCAAAUCGUAAAAUACUUUCAUGAAGCUGAGCAGUUAUUCAUUUAUCAUGACAUUAACAAAUCAGGUGAAAUCGACAUAAAAUUAUUUCCACAAAUGGCUAGACAACUAAAACAAGUUUAUAGUAUAAGAGAUGUUAAAGAAUUUGAAAAAGAAAUGUACAUAAAAAAAAUUGAUAAAAUGAAUUUGCCAAUUUUUUUGACAUUAUUAAAAAGAAGAAUGAAUCAACUUAUUGAUAGUGAUGAAACUUUUUUUAAACAUUUUAAUAUAUUAGAUAUGAAAAAAGAAAACAAAAUUGAUCUUAAAAAAGUAAGUGGUUUUAUUAAAACCGUGGGGGAUAAGUAGGCAAUUUUAAUCAUUAAACAUAUUUUUUUAUUUUUUUUAUUUUCCUGUACUGUAAUUAAAACUUUGUGUUAAUCGAUUUGGGUAUAACUAACAUUUGGGCAAUCAUAAAUAGUUAUUUUUAUGGUUAAGUCUGGUUUGGUACUUGUUUUGUUUUUUAAAUACAAAAAUGCCAAUAUA